CCUACGGGAGGCAGCAGUGGGGAAUAUUGGGCAAUGGGCGCAAGCCUGACCCAGCAACGCCGCGUGAAGGAAGAAGGCUUUCGGGUUGUAAACCUCUUUUAAGGGGGAAGAGCAGAAGACGGUACACCUGGAAUAAGCCACGGCUAACUACGUGCCAGCAGCCGGGGUAAUACGUAGUUGGCAAGCGUUGUGCGGAGUUACUGGGUGUACAGGGCGUGCAGCCGGGGAGACAAGUCAGAUGUGAAAUCCACGGGCUCAACCCGUGAACUGCCUUUGAAACUGUUUCCCUUGAGUGUCGGAGAGGUCAUCGGAAUUCCUUGUGUAGCGGUGAAAUGCGUAGAUAUUAGGAAGAACACCAGUGGCGAAGGCGGCUUACUGGACGAUACCUGACGGUGAGGCGCGAAAGCGUGGGGAGCAAACAGGAUUAGAUACCCCAGUAGUC
RNAcentral lists this ribosomal RNA (442 nucleotides) under uncultured bacterium. Its description in RNAcentral is "partial 16S ribosomal RNA". It matches the Rfam family "Bacterial small subunit ribosomal RNA", at positions 338 to 795 of the family's 1533-position model. The record is from RNAcentral.